RNAcentral lists this ribosomal RNA (269 nucleotides) under uncultured prokaryote. Its description in RNAcentral is "partial 16S ribosomal RNA". It matches the Rfam family "Bacterial small subunit ribosomal RNA", at positions 524 to 792 of the family's 1533-position model. The record is from RNAcentral.
UACGGAGGAUCCGAGCGUUAUCCGGAUUUAUUGGGUUUAAAGGGUGCGCAGGCGGGAGAUUAAGUCGGCGGUGAAAUUUUGCAGCUCAACUGUAAAAGUGCCUUCGAAACUGGUUUCCUUGAGUGUAAAUGAGGUAGGCGGAAUGUGUUAUGUAGCGGUGAAAUGCUUAGAUAUGACACAGAACACCAAUUGCGAAGGCAGCUUACUAAGAUACAACUGUCGCUGAGGCACGAAAGCGUGGGGAUCGAACAGGAUUAGAUACCCUGGUA